ACCGCGAUAGUUCAGCAGGUAGAGCAUCCUCUUGGUAUACGGAGGGUAGCCGGUUCGGUUCCGGCUCGCGGCG
This 73-nucleotide transfer RNA is filed under the name Fasciola hepatica (liver fluke). It matches the Rfam family "tRNA". From Rfam's summary of the family: Transfer RNA (tRNA) molecules are approximately 80 nucleotides in length. Their secondary structure includes four short double-helical elements and three loops (D, anti-codon, and T loops). Lineage: Eukaryota; Metazoa; Platyhelminthes; Trematoda; Plagiorchiida; Fasciolidae. The record is from Rfam by way of RNAcentral.